GUAGGUGAACCUGCGGAAGGAUCAUUAACACUUAUUAUCCAAUAAAUAUCAAAAUUUAAACCAAACGGUCACUUAUCUCCUCCCUACUUCGCCCACCGGAGACGGUACGAGUAGGCUAACAUUUUUUAAUUUUUAACCCCAUUAAAAACAUUCAACUCUUCGAUUUUGCUAUCUUUUUGCGUAAAAACAAAAUGAAAAACAAAAAACGAACUAAACUAAAAUAUACAUUGAUUAUAUUUUUCUUCUACGA
This 250-nucleotide unclassified non-coding RNA is filed under the name plant metagenome. RNAcentral's name for it is "partial contains small subunit ribosomal RNA, internal transcribed spacer 1, and 5.8S ribosomal RNA". The record is from RNAcentral.